GAUGAACGCUGUCUACAGGCUUAACACAUGCAAGUCGAGGGGAAACGACGGGGAAGCUUGCUUCCCCGGGCGUCGACCGGCGCACGGGUGAGUAACGCGUAUCCAACCUGCCUCUGACUGAGGGAUAACCCGUCGAAAGUCGGCCUAAUACCUCAUGGCAUCGUCUGCGGGCAUCCAACGACGAUUAAAGAUUUCAUCGGUCAGGGAUGGGGAUGCGUCUGAUUAGCUUGUUGGCGGGGUAACGGCCCACCAAGGCUACGAUCAGUAGGGGUUCUGAGAGGAAGGUCCCCCACAUUGGAACUGAGACACGGUCCAAACUCCUACGGGAGGCAGCAGUGAGGAAUAUUGGUCAAUGGGCGGGAGCCUGAACCAGCCAAGUAGCGUGCAGGAUGACGGCCCUAGGGGUUGUAAACUGCUUUUAUGCGGGGAUAAAGUGAGGGACGUGUCCUUCAUUGCAGGUACCGCAUGAAUAAGGACCGGCUAAUUCCGUG
RNAcentral lists this ribosomal RNA (491 nucleotides) under uncultured bacterium. RNAcentral's name for it is "partial 16S ribosomal RNA". It matches the Rfam family "Bacterial small subunit ribosomal RNA", at positions 28 to 507 of the family's 1533-position model. The record is from RNAcentral.